RNAcentral lists this ribosomal RNA (565 nucleotides) under Salmonella enterica. Its description in RNAcentral is "partial 23S ribosomal RNA". It matches the Rfam family "Bacterial large subunit ribosomal RNA", at positions 911 to 1477 of the family's 2925-position model. The record is from RNAcentral. Lineage: Bacteria; Pseudomonadati; Pseudomonadota; Gammaproteobacteria; Enterobacterales; Enterobacteriaceae.
UGUUUCGGCUAGGGGGCCAUCCCGGCUUACCAACCCGAUGCAAACUGCGAAUACCGGAGAAUGUUAUCACGGGAGACACACGGCGGGUGCUAACGUCCGUCGUGAAGAGGGAAACAACCCAGACCGCCAGCUAAGGUCCCAAAGUCAUGGUUAAGUGGGAAACGAUGUGGGAAGGCCCAGACAGCCAGGAUGUUGGCUUAGAAGCAGCCAUCAUUUAAAGAAAGCGUAAUAGCUCACUGGUCGAGUCGGCCUGCGCGGAAGAUGUAACGGGGCUAAACCAUGCACCGAAGCUGCGGCAGCGACGCUUAUGCGUUGUUGGGUAGGGGAGCGUUCUGUAAGCCUGCGAAGGUGGCCUGUGAGGGUUGCUGGAGGUAUCAGAAGUGCGAAUGCUGACAUAAGUAACGAUAAAGCGGGUGAAAAGCCCGCUCGCCGGAAGACCAAGGGUUCCUGUCCAACGUUAAUCGGGGCAGGGUGAGUCGACCCCUAAGGCGAGGCCGAAAGGCGUAGUCGAUGGGAAACGGGUUAAUAUUCCCGUACUUGGUGUUACUGCGAAGGGGGGACGGAG